RNAcentral lists this ribosomal RNA (253 nucleotides) under uncultured bacterium. RNAcentral's name for it is "partial 16S ribosomal RNA". It matches the Rfam family "Bacterial small subunit ribosomal RNA", at positions 524 to 776 of the family's 1533-position model. The record is from RNAcentral.
UACGAAGGUGGCUAGCGUUGUUCGGAUUUACUGGGCGUAAAGCGUACGUAGGCGGUUUUAUAAGUCAGAGGUGAAAGCCUGGAGCUCAACUCCAGAACUGCCUUUGAAACUAUAAAACUUGAACGCGAGAGAGGAUGAUGGAAUUUCCAGUGUAGCGGUGAAAUGCGUAGAUAUUGGAAGGAACACCAGUGGCGAAAGCGGUCAUCUGGCUCGUUGUUGACGCUGAGGUACGAAAGCGUGGGGAGCAAACAGG